CGGAGGAUCCAAGCGUUAUCCGGAAUCAUUGGGUUUAAAGGGUCCGUAGGCGGUUUAGUAAGUCAGUGGUGAAAGCCCAUCGCUCAACGGUGGAACGGCCAUUGAUACUGCUAGACUUGAAUUAUUAGGAAGUAACUAGAAUAUGUAGUGUAGCGGUGAAAUGCUUAGAGAUUACAUGGAAUACCAAUUGCGAAGGCAGGUUACUACUAAUGGAUUGACGUUGAUGGACGAAAGCGUGGGUAGCGAACAGGAUUAGAUACCCUGGUAGUCCACGCCGUAAACGAUGGAUACUAGCUGUUGGGGGCAACUUCAGUGGCUAAGCGAAAGUGAUAAGUAUCCCACCUGGGGAGUACGUUCGCAAGAAUG
RNAcentral lists this ribosomal RNA (366 nucleotides) under uncultured organism. RNAcentral's name for it is "bacterial SSU rRNA". It matches the Rfam family "Bacterial small subunit ribosomal RNA", at positions 526 to 896 of the family's 1533-position model. The record is from RNAcentral.